CCUACGGGAGGCAGCAGUAAGGAAUAUUGGACAAUGGACGCAAGUCUGAUCCAGCCAUGCCGCGUGAAGGAUUAAGGUCCUCUGGAUUGUAAACUUCUUUUAUAAGGGACGAAAAAAGGUCUUUCUAGAUCGUCUGACGGUACCUUAUGAAUAAGCACCGGCUAACUCCGUGCCAGCAGCCGCGGUAAUACGGAGGGUGCAAGCGUUAUCCGGAUUCACUGGGUUUAAAGGGUGCGUAGGCGGGCAGGUAAGUCAGUGGUGAAAUCCUAGAGCUUAACUCUAGAACUGCCAUUGAUACUAUCUGUCUUGAAUAUUGUGGAGGUAAGCGGAAUAUGUCAUGUAGCGGUGAAAUGCUUAGAUAUGACAUAGAACACCUAUUGCGAAGGCAGCUUACUACGCAUAUAUUGACGCUGAGCACGAAGACGUGGAGUACAACAGAUAGUAUACCUACGUAGUCACGACCGUAACCGACUAGAGUACUCGACAUACG
RNAcentral lists this ribosomal RNA (490 nucleotides) under uncultured bacterium. RNAcentral's name for it is "bacterial SSU rRNA". It matches the Rfam family "Bacterial small subunit ribosomal RNA", at positions 338 to 826 of the family's 1533-position model. The record is from RNAcentral.